GACGAACGCUGGCGGCGUGCCUAAUACAUGCAAGUCGAGCGGACGAAUCGAAAGCUUGCUUUUGAUUCGUUAGCGGCGGACGGGUGAGUAACACGUGGGCAACCUGCCCUGUAGACGGGGAUAACACCGAGAAAUCGGUGCUAAUACCGGAUAACACGAAAUGUCGCAUGACGUUUCGUUGAAAGACGGCGCAAGCUGUCGCUACAGGAUGGGCCCGCGGCGCAUUAGCUAGUUGGUGAGGUAACGGCUCACCAAGGCGACGAUGCGUAGCCGACCUGAGAGGGUGAUCGGCCACACUGGGACUGAGACACGGCCCAGACUCCUACGGGAGGCAGCAGUAAGGAAUCUUCCGCAAUGGACGAAAGUCUGACGGAGCAACGCCGCGUGAGCGAAGAAGGCCUUCGGGUCGUAAAGCUCUGUUGUUAGGGAAGAACAAGUAGCGCAGUAACUGGCGUUACCGUGACGGUACCUAACGAGAAAGCCACGGCUAACUACGUG
This 498-nucleotide ribosomal RNA is filed under the name uncultured bacterium. RNAcentral describes it as "partial 16S ribosomal RNA". It matches the Rfam family "Bacterial small subunit ribosomal RNA", at positions 28 to 507 of the family's 1533-position model. The record is from RNAcentral.